Molecule: long non-coding RNA, 1368 nt
Filed under: Arabidopsis thaliana (thale cress)
Lineage: Eukaryota; Viridiplantae; Streptophyta; Magnoliopsida; Brassicales; Brassicaceae
Description: potential natural antisense gene, locus overlaps with AT4G26790 (AT4G26795)
Source: RNAcentral
CUCACUGUGAUCCCAAUUGAUUUCUUCUUCAUCUUCUUUUAUGAACCUGGCUUUCGCAUCUUCUUAGCUCUGGGCCAUUCCUCCGGUGAUUUUGGGUUGCAAUGGUUGGGAAAAUAUUUUUGUUAGAACUUUGUACUAACCGAAUGCUUCAGGAUGGUAUAUGAUUUCUGAAACAAGGUCAUAUGGAUUUGAAAACACCAGCUGGAUUCCGUUCAGAUCUCUGUUCAACUGGAAGACUUUCUCUUCCAUCUUGAUGUUGAAAUCUCUAGCCACAAUGUUGUAUUCUUCAAUACAUUUGCUUCCAUAAAAGAGCUGAGUUGUUCUUUCCAGGGGUAAGCAUCCAAAAGGAGAGAGUCCCGACAAAGACAUCUUCCGAGCUCCGAGUCUGUAUAUAUCUGUCACGAAAUCUGCUGCUAUUCCUAUCAGGAAAUAUUGGUACUCGUUCACUGAGUACUUCCGUAACUUGCGGGGAAGAAGAUAGUAAUUCUCCAGGAAAUCGUUGGUUCCGAUACUAAUCAGUAUUCCACUUCCUUCCAUAGCGGCAUUACAGACUUUAGAAAUCGAUGACAAUUCAGAGAAAGCAUGUCAGAAAUCUAAGUCCAGUACAGUAGAAUAUAUAUAUGUUGUAAGAUAUAUAACUAUGCUUGACUUACUAACACGGCAGAGGUUGCAUUGUCUAAGCCGGUUCCAGCUGAAGCGAAACAGACACCAGUGGCAAAGUCUGCAAUGUUGUAUGCUGGAUCUAGGUAGGCAGGGACUGCGUUCUUGAGUCCCAAACCUUCAGAAAUGAAGUCUGGUGCAAUCCGGCCAUUUGAAAAUCUCCCAGUCGCUUUGCCGUCAAAGUAAUCCCGGCCAUAUGGCUGGAAAUUGCUCUUCAGAACAGUAGAAAUCUGGUUGUUGUUGCCUGAAUCAACAGUUGAGUCACCAAAUACGAUAAGUGCGGGAAAUUUUGCACACGUUUCAGGUAUCUUCACCAAGAGCUGAGCUGCUAGCAACAAGAACGCAAGAACUCUGUUUCGCUGCAUGCUUUUUACACAAGUUUUUUCAAUUUUUUGCUUCUGCAAAACAAGAACCUCACGAUUAAUUGGGAAGAACAAUUGGAGCAAGCAUUUAAGAUGGAGAAAGAUAGAGAGUUAGUUGAGGUGAGUAAUGAGCUGAAAAUGAUUGAGAGUUUCAAUAAUAGUUGUGCAGCAGAGAGCCGUAUUUAUAGCUACUAAAAAAGAGAGAAAGACAGAAUAUUUUAAAAUAGAAGGAUUCGUACCAUUGCAAGCUUCAGAUGUAUAUGUAACGCAUCUUCCUUUUUACCGGAUUCACGCUCAAAACUCAACUCUCUGUUCUUGUAUCACUUACUGUUUUUAUUGCUUACUG